Molecule: ribosomal RNA, 253 nt
Filed under: uncultured bacterium
Lineage: Bacteria
Description: partial 16S ribosomal RNA
Rfam family: Bacterial small subunit ribosomal RNA
Source: RNAcentral
UACGUAGGGAGCGAGCGUUGUCCGGAAUUACUGGGCGUAAAGGGUGCGUAGGCGGCAAUGCAAGUCAGAUGUGAAAUCCCCGGGCUUAACUCGGGGGGUGCAUUUGAAACUGCAUUGCUUGAGUGCAGGAGAGGAAAGCGGAAUUCCUAGUGUAGCGGUGAAAUGCGUAGAUAUUAGGAAGAACACCAGUGGCGAAGGCGGCUUUCUGGACUGUAACUGACGCUGAGGCACGAAAGCGUGGGGAGCAAACAGG